This 568-nucleotide ribosomal RNA is filed under the name Enterococcus faecium. RNAcentral's name for it is "partial 23S ribosomal RNA". It matches the Rfam family "Bacterial large subunit ribosomal RNA", at positions 643 to 1212 of the family's 2925-position model. Lineage: Bacteria; Bacillati; Bacillota; Bacilli; Lactobacillales; Enterococcaceae. The record is from RNAcentral.
AGGUUAACCGUAUAGGGGAGCCGCAGGGAAACCGAGUCUUAACUGGGCGUUAAGUUGCAGGGUAUAGACCCGAAACCCGGUGAUCUAGCCAUGGGCAGGUUGAAGGUUGGGUAACACUAACUGGAGGACCGAACCGACUAAUGUUGAAAAAUUAGCGGAUGACUUGUGGCUGGGGGUGAAAGGCCAAUCAAACCGGGAGAUAGCUGGUUCUCCCCGAAAGCUAUUUAGGUAGCGCCUCGUGAAUUCAUCUUCGGGGGUAGAGCACUGUUUCGGCUAGGGGGUCAUCCCGACUUACCAACCCGAUGCGAACUACGAAUACCGAAGAAUGUUAUCCCGGGAGACACACGGCGGGUGCUAACGUCCGUCGUGAAGAGGGAAACAACCCAGACCGCCAGCUAAGGUCCCAAAGUCAUGGUUAAGUGGGAAACGAUGUGGGAAGGCACAGACAGCCAGGAUGUUGGCUUAGAAGCAGCCAUCAUUUAAAGAAAGCGUAAUAGCUCACUGGUCGAGUCGGCCUGCGCGGAAGAUGUAACGGGGCUAAACCAUGCACCGAAGCUGCGGCAGCGAC